GAUAAUAUGUGCAAGAAUAGUAAAUUUCAUAAAAGUAAAGAGCAAAAAGUAAAUGUUAAUGGUUAAUGGUUAGUGUUAGUAGUUAGUGUGCCAUAAGGCAAAUUUAGCGCUAUGUUAAGCAAUCGUAAUUGGACUUAUGUAGAAGUCACAACUAUCUGAGGCCGGUCAAUAAUAAUGUAGGAAACAACACAAGUUAGAAGUCUUGAUUAGUGAACCAAGUU
This 221-nucleotide long non-coding RNA is filed under the name Lathyrus oleraceus (garden pea). RNAcentral's name for it is "Pisum sativum (pea) long non-coding RNA (PSAT_LNC005950)". The record is from RNAcentral. Lineage: Eukaryota; Viridiplantae; Streptophyta; Magnoliopsida; Fabales; Fabaceae.